GGGCAGUUAGCUCAGUUGGAUAGAGCGUUGGCCUCCGGAGCCAAAGGCCACAGGUUCGAAUCCUGUACUGCCCACCA
Molecule: transfer RNA, 77 nt
Filed under: Desulfovibrio sp.
Lineage: Bacteria; Pseudomonadati; Thermodesulfobacteriota; Desulfovibrionia; Desulfovibrionales; Desulfovibrionaceae
Also listed under: 7 other names
Description: tRNA-Arg
Rfam family: tRNA
About the family: Transfer RNA (tRNA) molecules are approximately 80 nucleotides in length.
Source: RNAcentral